CCCACUGUUCAGCCAGUGGAGCCCACCGACACAUGCGGGAGGAGUAAUCGUCCGGUAUGAAGCUGUCGGAAACGUACCCGCGGGGAACCGUAGGACAAGUCGUGAGAGGAAUCCGAACCUGGUAGCAACGACCGGGGAGGGGC
Leptospirillum ferrooxidans C2-3 is the source of this 143-nucleotide non-coding RNA. NCBI's taxonomy places the organism in Bacteria, Pseudomonadati, Nitrospirota, Nitrospiria, Nitrospirales, Nitrospiraceae. The record is from Rfam.